This 492-nucleotide ribosomal RNA is filed under the name uncultured bacterium. Its description in RNAcentral is "partial 16S ribosomal RNA". It matches the Rfam family "Bacterial small subunit ribosomal RNA", at positions 29 to 507 of the family's 1533-position model. The record is from RNAcentral.
AGUGAACGCUGGCGGUAGGCCUAACACAUGCAAGUCGAACGGCAGCACAGUAGGAGCUUGCUCUUACGGGUGGCGAGUGGCGGACGGGUGAGGAAUACAUCGGAAUCUACUUUUUCGUGGGGGAUAACGUAGGGAAACUUACGCUAAUACCGCAUACGACCUACGGGUGAAAGCAGGGGAUCUUCGGACCUUGCGCGAUUGAAUGAGCCGAUGUCGGAUUAGCUAGUUGGCGGGGUAAAGGCCCACCAAGGCGACGAUCCGUAGCUGGUCUGAGAGGAUGAUCAGCCACACUGGAACUGAGACACGGUCCAGACUCCUACGGGAGGCAGCAGUGGGGAGUAUUGGACAAUGGGCGCAAGCCUGAUCCAGCCAUACCGCGUGGGUGAAGAAGGCCUUCGGGUUGUAAAGCCCUUUUGUUGGGAAAGAAAAGCAGCAGGUUAAUACCCCGCUGUUCUGACGGUACCCAAAGAAUAAGCACCGGCUAACUUCGUG